UUAUAUUUAUAAACGUAGAAA
RNAcentral lists this non-coding RNA (21 nucleotides) under Caenorhabditis elegans. The record is from RNAcentral. Lineage: Eukaryota; Metazoa; Nematoda; Chromadorea; Rhabditida; Rhabditidae.